UGGGGAAUAUUGCACAAUGGGCGCAAGCCUGAUGCAGCCAUGCCGCGUGUAUGAAGAAGGCCUUCGGGUUGUAAAGUACUUUCAGCGGGGAGGAAGGGAGUAAAGUUAAUACCUUUGCUCAUUGACGUUACCCGCAGAAGAAGCACCGGCUAACUCCGUGCCAGCAGCCGCGGUAAUACGGAGGGUGCAAGCGUUAAUCGGAAUUACUGGGCGUAAAGCGCACGCAGGCGGUUUGUUAAGUCAGAUGUGAAAUCCCCGGGCUCAACCUGGGAACUGCAUCUGAUACUGGCAAGCUUGAGUCUCGUAGAGGGGGGUAGAAUUCCAGGUGUAGCGGUGAAAUGCGUGGAGAUCUGGAGGAAUACCGGUGGCGAAGGCGGCCCCCUGGACGAAGACUGACGCUCAGGUGCGAAAGAGUGGGGAGCAAACAGG
Molecule: ribosomal RNA, 429 nt
Filed under: Chloroflexota bacterium
Lineage: Bacteria; Bacillati; Chloroflexota
Description: Chloroflexi bacterium partial 16S ribosomal RNA
Rfam family: Bacterial small subunit ribosomal RNA
Source: RNAcentral